RNAcentral lists this transfer RNA (546 nucleotides) under Bradyrhizobium sp. S2.96. RNAcentral's name for it is "partial 16S-23S ribosomal RNA intergenic spacer". The stretch from base 66 to 138 matches the Rfam family "tRNA". The record is from RNAcentral. Lineage: Bacteria; Pseudomonadati; Pseudomonadota; Alphaproteobacteria; Hyphomicrobiales; Nitrobacteraceae.
GGUCGGAAGUUCAAGUCUUCCCAGGCCCACCACACUCAUCGAGUGAGCAUUCGUCUUCUGGUUACGGGGCCAUAGCUCAGCUGGGAGAGCGCGUGCUUUGCAAGCAUGAGGUCGUCGGUUCGAUCCCGUCUGGCUCCACCAGAUGGUUUGAUCACCGAUUACUCAUACCGUCGUCCGCGAAACAUCACUUCGCACUUACUAGUCCGGAUGGACAGUAAGCUGCGUGAUUUCUGACAUCGUAAAGAGGAGAUCGAUCCGAGUUGGAUCGGGCAACAAGCAAUUGUUGCGCGAUACUUCAUUAUCUCCGGAUCAUUUCGGCGCUCGUGCGUCUUCCAGGGUAGCUCACAAGGCUGCAUUGAAAGACAAGCGAGUUGUAAAUGAUCCUUUUAGCGAAGCUUGACCGCCUCGCUAUCGGAACGAUCUUACGAAGCAAGCUGGUCUUUCUAAUCAUUGUCCGGCUGCAGAUAGCGUUCAUCGAGGGCGCGUACCGCAAGGGAGUUCUGCAGACAACAUUCUGCCGAGUGUGUGGACAUUGAUAAUGAGAGC